Nasonia vitripennis (jewel wasp) is the source of this 149-nucleotide long non-coding RNA. RefSeq lists it as uncharacterized. The record is from RefSeq and is a predicted model, not a curated record. The transcript has 3 exons. NCBI's taxonomy places the organism in Eukaryota, Metazoa, Arthropoda, Insecta, Hymenoptera, Pteromalidae.
GUCCAUUAUUAAAUAAGAAAUCUCGAACAGCAAGAGAAAAGGAUCCUCUUUCUCUAGAUGAAGAUAGUGAACCAGAGAUUCCUGAUGACUAUGAAGACAGUUAUUCUGAAAAAGAGACUCGUUCAAGACCAACCACUCCAAUAGAUAAU